UUUGCCUGAGUUCCUGAGAAAAUGUAAAAAGACUAAGAACAGAUCUAGGAAUCACGAAAAGGUAAAAGGAAAAGGGGAGGAUCAGAAGAUUUACCUCUAGGACGAAGGCCAUGGUGGUUGUAGGGACUGCCAUUGGGAUUUGGAAGACUGGCGUGAUUGUUGAAGAAUGAGAGAAAGCCACCGAAAUGCACUGGAAUGCACUUGGGGAUGGAACAAGCAGGGGCGCCGGAGUGUGUCGGGAGAUGAUUCGCUGGAAGCGAAACUUUUUUGCCCGGGGAAGAAGAAGCGGCGGAAGAGAUGAGUAUCUAGAGGAUGGUUCGAGAGAGGGGUAAAUACGAAAUUUUUACCAUGCCGUCCGCGAAAAUUUGAAAAGAGUGAUUGCCCGCGGGCAUUCUGUUCAAAAAAAUGCAAUCACCAAGGAGAAGAUUUCAGGAGUGGAAAGGUUUUGCCGCACUUUUUGUUGUGUCUCUUCUAGAGAAAAGAGUUGGAGUUAAAAAAAAUUCGGAGGAAAAG
RNAcentral lists this long non-coding RNA (513 nucleotides) under Setaria viridis. RNAcentral describes it as "long non-coding RNA (SVIR_LNC009545)". The record is from RNAcentral. Lineage: Eukaryota; Viridiplantae; Streptophyta; Magnoliopsida; Poales; Poaceae.